Molecule: RNA transcript, 4930 nt
Organism: Eriocheir sinensis (Chinese mitten crab)
Lineage: Eukaryota; Metazoa; Arthropoda; Malacostraca; Decapoda; Varunidae
Gene name: gastrula zinc finger protein XlCGF57.1-like
Exons: 3
Source: RefSeq, a predicted model, not a curated record
AGAUCAAGUUCAAGAUCAAAAAACGUAAACAAAGAGAAGCGAAUCACGAAGAAGAAGAAUAAGAUUAAAAAAAAGAAGAUAAAAGAGGAGAGAAGGAUAAUUAAGGGCCGCGAAGGAGGGAGAUGAAGGAAUAAGGACCAAAGAAGAGAUACAGAGCCCACAGAAGAGAGGAAGAGGAGAGAAAGGACCCAAGACUGACCCCAUAGGACGCAGCCACCACAGGACUCCUCACCACCUCCUACAGGACACCAGGCAAUCAUAGGACACUCUAGGACAUGGACAGUGGCACCCCCCUUCACCCCCCCCUGCCCCCCCCCCCCUACAAGCUGGAGUAGUGUAAGGGAUUUUGACAAGUUUAAGUUCGAGUGAUUUGGCGGAAGGAUUGGAAAAGGGGUGGAUUGUAAGUGUGUGUGUGUGUGUGAGGAUAUAAGUUUAUAAGUGAAUGGUGGAGAUUGUAGUGGAUUGUAGUGAGGGAGGAGGAGGAGUUAGAAAUGAAAGAAUAGAAGAAGGAAAAGAGAAAAUAUAUUGAAAAAGGAAAGGAGGAGAAAGAGGAAGAAAUGAAGGAGAAAAUAUAUUGAAAAAGAAGAGGAAAGAAAGAGUAAUUGUGAUAAAGAGGAGGAGAAAGAGAGAGAAAUGAAAGAAUAGAGGAAUAGAAAGAGAAUAUAUUGAAAAAGGAGAGAGAGAAAGAGUAAUUGUGAUAAAGAGAAGGAGAAAGAGACAAAUGAGAAAAGAGGAAGAAUAAAAAGAAGAAAAUAUAUUGAAAAAGGAGAGAAAGAAAGAGUAAUUGUGAUAAAGAGGAGGAGAAAGAGAGAGAAAUGAAAGAAUAGAGGAAUAGAAAGAGAAAAUAUAUUGGAAAAGGAGAGAGAAAAAGAAGAAAGUAAAAAGGAAAAGAUUAGAAAGGAAGAAAAAGAAGAAAAUAUUGAAAAAGGAAAGAGAGAGAGAGAGAGAGAGAGAGAGAGAGAGAGAGAGAGAGAGAGAGAGAGAGAGAGUAAAGGAAGAAAAAGAAGAAAAUAUUGAAAAAGGAAAGAGAAAAAGAAGAAAGACUAAGAAAUAAAACAAAACAAAGGAAGAAAAAGAAGAAAAUAUUGAAAAAUUAAAUAAACAUCAUAGAGGAGAGAGAAACAGUGAUAAAUGAGAGAAUAGAAGAGGAAGGAAGGAAGAAGAAAAGAAGAAAAAAUAUUGAAAAAAGGAAAAGAAGAAGAAGAAAAGAAGGAAAAGAGAAAUAUGAAAAGCAAAGUGUGUGAAGAAAAAGAAGAAAAUGAGAAAGAAUAUGAAGAAAAAUGAAGAAAAUGAGAAAGAAGAAAAUGAUUGAAAAAGUGAAUGAAAGAAAACAAGAAGAAAAAAUAACAAAAAUAAAUGUGUGUGAAUAAUCAGAAAACAGAGAGAGAGAGAGAGAGAGAGAGAGAGAGAGAGAGAGAGAGAGAGAGAGAGAGAAGACAAUAUCACUCAAAAGAAGACAAGAUUAGAAUUUGAACCCACAAUGGAAGAAAUCAAAACAGACCCCUUCACAGAUUGCCCAAACCACCUACACCCAUUCUCAGAGGAGGAGGAGGAAGAGGAAGAGGAGGAGGAGGAGGAGGUGGAAAGGGUAUCAGCUGUAGAAGGUAACACUGGACGCACUCUAACGCACUCUGAUAUCAAGGAGUUUAAAUGUAAAGAGUGCGGGAAAGUGUUCAAGUCUAAAGCUACAUUGAACAAACACACUCGAACACACUCUAAUGGUCUGAGAGAGAAGGAAAGGGUAUCAGCUGUAGAUGGUAACACCGAACGCACUCUAACGCACUCUGAUAUCAAGGAUUAUAAGUGUGAAGAGUGCGGUAAGGUGUUCAAAUCUAAUGCUGGUCUCACCAGACACACUCGCACACACUCUACCGCCUUGAGAGAAGAGGAGAGGCUUGCAGCUAUAGAUGGCAACACUGGACGCACUCUAACGCACUCUAAUAUCAAGGAGUUUAAGUGUGAAGAGUGCGGUAAGGUGUUCAAAUCUAAUGCUGGUCUCACAAGACACACUCGCACACACUCUACCCCUUUGAGAGAAGAGGAGAGGCUUGCAGCUGUAGAUGGUAACACUGGACUCACUCUAACGCACUCUGAUAUCAAGGAGUUUAAGUGUGAAGAGUGCGGUAAGGUGUUCAAGUCUAAUGCUGGUCUCAACGGACACACUCGCGUUCACUCUAUCAGUAAGAAUGGAAAAGAAAAGGUUGGCAACACUGAUAUCAAGCAAUUUAAGUGUGAUGAGUGUGAUAAAGUCUUCAAUUCUCAAGCUAGUCUGAACAAACACACUCGCACGCACCCUGACGGCAAGAUAUUCGAGUGUGAAAAGUGCGGUAAGAAAUUCUCAUCGCGGGGCAACCUUAACCAACACACUAACACACACACUGACAUCAAGUUCAAGUGUGAAGAGUGCGGUAAGGAAUUCAGCUCCAAGUUCACCCUCAAGAAACACACUCGGAAACACACUAACCCCGGGGAGGCCUACAUUUGCGAGUUAUGUGGGAGAAAAUUCAGAAGCCUCGGGAACUUGAACCAACAUUUAAACACACACGGCGGGGAGAGAAACCAUGAGUGCGUUGUCUGCGGGAAGAGAUUUUUGAGGUCCUGUGAUUUGACUAGACACGCACUCACACACUCAGACACCAGGAAUUUUGAGUGCGAAAAGUGCGGUAAGAAGUUCAUCCGCCACGGACAUUUACGCGACCACAUUUUAAUACAUACUGGUGAAGGGAGAACAUUUGAAUGCCUUAUAUGUGAGAAGCUUUUUACGUCGAAGGGAAACCUCAAUCAACACACUCUAACUCACAAUGACACUAGGAAUUUCGAGUGCGAGAUAUGUUUUAGGAAGUUCACGAGACAGGGCGAUUUGAACAAGCACGCUCUAACGCACUCAAACUCACGUGGUUUUGAGUGCGAAGAGUGCGGGAAGGUAUUUACGCGUGCAAGCAGUUUGAACGCACACGCACGCACUCACUCCGAAGCUCCGAACACCUGCUUGUGUGUCGAGUGCGGGAAGCGGUUCUCGACGAAGAGCAAUCUCAAGAAACACACUCUAACGCACACUAAUAGGAAUUUUGAGUGCGUUGAGUGUGGUAAGACUUACACAUCGCAACGCUACUAUAUGAAACACUCGCAGAAGCACAUAAAAACUGUUGGAGAGUGGGAGAUGGAGGAGGAGGAAGAGGAGGAGGAGAUGGAGGUGGAGGAAGAAGAGGAGGAGGAGGAGGAGGAAGAGGAUUUUGCAGUGGAGGUUUUAGUGGUGGAAGGUCCGUGAAAUGUAUGUGUUUUUAAGUGGAAGAGGAAGUGGAAGAAGAGGAGGAGAAGGAAGAUUAUACAUUGGAAGAUAUUUGAAAUGUGUGUGUGUGUGUGUGUGUAUGUGUGUGUGUUAAGUGUAAAUAAGGGUUGUAUUAUAAGUAGGGGUAUUGUAGUAGGCAUUAUUAUAAGUAGUAGUGGUAGUAGUAACUGCACUUUUAUCCCACAGUUCGUACUUAAGGGAACCAUUUCGCUGGGACCGGUAACACUUAUAAUUUUCAUUUUUUUAAUUUAUACAUUUUUUUUUUCACUCAAAGUUUAUGAUUUUUACUUUAUCAUGAGUUUUUCUAUUCUUGUUUUUUCAUAUCUAUUUCCUUGCUUUGUUUAUUUAGAUUUUCCUUCCUUCUUUCUGUAACUCUAUUCCUUGUUCUCUCUAUCUCCUCUUUGUUAUUUAAUGUUCCUUCCUUCCUUUCUGUAACUCUAUUCCUUGUUCUCUCUAUCUCCUCUUUGUUUAUUUAGAUUUUCCUUCCUUCUUUCUGUAACUCUAUUCCCUGUUCUCUCUAUCUCCUCUUUGCUAUUUAAUGUUCCUUCCUUCUUUCUGUAACUCUAUUCCCUGUUCUCUCUAUCUCCUCUUUGUUAUUUAGAUUUUCCUUCCUUUCUGUAACUCUAUUCCUUGUUCUCUCUAUCUCCUCUUUGUUAUUUAGAUUUUCCUUCCUUUCUGUAACUCUAUUCCUUGUUCUCUCUAUCUCCUCUUUGUUAUUUAAUGUUCCUUCCUUCCUUUCUGUAACUCUAUUCCUUGUUCUCUCUAUCUCCUCUUUGUUAUUUAGAUUUUCCUUCCUUUCUGUAACUCUAUUCCUUGUUCUCUCUAUCUCCUCUUUGUUAUUUAAUGUUCCUUCCUUCUUUCUGUAACUCUAUUCCUUGUUCUCUCUAUCUCCUCUUUGUUUAUUUAGAUUUUCCUUCCUUCUUUCUGUAACUCUAUUCCUUGUUCUCUCUAUCUCCUCUUUGUUAUUUAAUGUUCCUUCCUUCUUUCUGUAACUCUAUUCCUUGUUCUCUCUAUCUCCUUUGUUAUUUAAUGUUCCUUCCUUCCUUUCUGUAACUCUAUUCCUUGUUCUCUCUAUCUCCUCUGUUAUUUAGAUUUUCCUUCCUCCUCUUUCAAGCUGUGUGGGUAAGUGAUGACCUUCCCUGUUCUCUAUCUCCUCCAGAUGUUCCUUCCCCUAUCUAUCUCUCCUGUUUAUCAUCUCUAAUCUUCACUUUAUCAUGUCUAAUAUUUCAUCUGUUGUCAUGGAGGGAACACUUCUGGUUGGGUCGGUCAGCUCUCUUACCCACUGCCCUUACUCCAGAGGCUCUCAAACUAGGGUGCCAUGGAGAGUGCCCCGGGGGACCACAAGAUCAUGAUUUUUUUUUCUUUUUUGUUAGUCUGCAUUUAUAACCCUCUAAGUUAAUCUAAUUCGACUGACGAGUUUUGUUUGGGGAUUUUCUGUACUGUAUGUUAAGGUUGGUUUGAGUAUGGAUAAUUUUAAUUCAUGGAGGUAUAUAUAAACAGGUACAUUUGUGUUUUAAAAGUUAAUUCACAAGGGGGGAUACUAUAUAUAUUUAUUUUUAGAUUAAGGAAUUACCAUUACCAAAAGGAUAUUAGAAUUUACUUAUAUAACUAGUGACCUAAGUAUUAAAGAUUGUAUUGAAG